Molecule: ribosomal RNA, 492 nt
Filed under: uncultured bacterium
Lineage: Bacteria
Description: partial 16S ribosomal RNA
Rfam family: Bacterial small subunit ribosomal RNA
Source: RNAcentral
AGUGAACGCUGGCGGUAGGCCUAACACAUGCAAGUCGAACGGCAGCACAGUAAGAGCUUGCUCUUACGGGUGGCGAGUGGCGGACGGGUGAGGAAUACAUCGGAAUCUACUUUUUCGUGGGGGAUAACGUAGGGAAACUUACGCUAAUACCGCAUACGACCUACGGGUGAAAGCAGGGGAUCUUCGGACCUUGCGCGAUUGAAUGAGCCGAUGUCGGAUUAGCUAGUUGGCGGGGUAAAGGCCCACCAAGGCGACGAUCCGUAGCUGGUCUGAGAGGAUGAACAGCCACACUGGAACUGAGGCACGGUCCCGACUCCUACGGGAGGGAGCAGUGGGGAAUAUUGGACAAUGGGCGCAAGCCUGAUCCAGCCAUACCGCGUGGGUGAAGAAGGCCUUCGGGUUGUAAAGCCCUUUUGUUGGGAAAGAAAAGCAGCAGGUUAAUACCCCGCUGUUCUGACGGUACCCAAAGAAUAAGCACCGGCUAACUUCGUG